GGCCCGCACAAGCGGUGGAGCAUGUGGUUUAAUUCGAUGCAACGCGAAGAACCUUACCUACUCUUGACAUCCAGAGAAUUUAGCAGAGAUGCUUUAGUGCCUUCGGGAACUCUGAGACAGGUGCUGCAUGGCUGUCGUCAGCUCGUGUUGUGAAAUGUUGGGUUAAGUCCCGCAACGAGCGCAACCCUUAUCCUUUGUUGCCAGCGAUUCGGUCGGGAACUCAAAGGAGACUGCCGGUGAUAAACCGGAGGAAGGUGGGGAUGACGUCAAGUCAUCAUGGCCCUUACGAGUAGGGCUACACACGUGCUACAAUGGCGUAUACAAAGAGAAGCGACCUCGCGAGAGCAAGCGGAACUCAUAAAGUACGUCGUAGUCCGGAUUGGAGUCUGCAACUCGACUCCAUGAAGUCGGAAUCGCUAGUAAUCGUAGAUCAGAAUGCUACGGUGAAUACGUUCCCGGGCCUUGUACACACCGCCCGUCACACCAUGGGAGUGGGUUGCAAAAGAAGUAGGUAGCUUAACCUUCGGGAGGGCGCUUACCACUUUGUGAUUCAUGACUGGGGUGAAGUCGUAA
Molecule: ribosomal RNA, 573 nt
Filed under: uncultured bacterium
Lineage: Bacteria
Description: bacterial SSU rRNA
Rfam family: Bacterial small subunit ribosomal RNA
Source: RNAcentral